Carya illinoinensis is the source of this 2033-nucleotide long non-coding RNA. RefSeq lists it as uncharacterized. Lineage: Eukaryota; Viridiplantae; Streptophyta; Magnoliopsida; Fagales; Juglandaceae. The record is from RefSeq and is a predicted model, not a curated record. The transcript is spliced from 3 exons.
AUAGGCUAAUAGUAGUAGUGGAUAUAAUGGAAUGUAUAAGGGACUGUAAUAUUGAUAAAAAGCCUCACGGCAGUAGCAACACUUUCUUCGAGGGAAAGGACCUCCACAGUAGCGAUGAACAGUAGAAUAUUCCAGAUGAUAGGUUAAAUCUCUUACAGAGACCUUAUGUACUAUAAUAUGCAUUUUACUAAAAAGUCCUUAAUCUAACUGGGCUAAAGGCCCUUACAGUUUACUUAAAAGGAUCAACUCUUCUGCAGCUCAUGGCCCAUACGGCCCAGCUUCUUUCUUAUUUGGUUCGGCCCACCAGCAGGCCUCUCCACCAGCAGCCCACGACAUAAGCUGAACUCUAGUCUUCAGUUCUUCGUGUGCCCUAAGUUCUGUCUGUUCCUCGUGUGCCAUGCCUCAAGCCGCCGACCUCCCUUCUGCUCUUAACUUGCCCAGCCGUGUGACAACUCCCCUUUCCUUCAGAAAACCUUGCCCACAAGGUGGGGAAAAUCUUCACAAAGCUGAUGGUACAUCUCCCAGGAAGCUUCCUCUGCAGAUUGCCCAUGCCAACGGACCAAAACCUCCACUACCGGAGGAAGGGUUGCUAUGGGUAAAGCCCCUUGAUUGAGUCUCGGUUUCAGCUGUGAAACGUGAAACACGUUAUGGAUCUGUGCAGUGGUUGGAAGCUUCAAACGGUAUGCCACCUCUCCGAUUCGCUGCUCUACCUCGAACGGUCCAUAAAACCUUGGACUGAGUUUGAGGUUCUGCCGAGUAGUGAGGGAUGAUUGCCGAUACGGUUGGAGCUUCAAAAAUACCCAAUCCCCCACUUGGACCCACAGCUGCUCACGGUCACGCAAGGUAACCUCUACUUCUUCUAACCUUGAGGUUCCUGGUACAUAGCUUGUUAGUUUUGGAGGUUUGUAGCCAUACAAUGCUUCAAAUGGCGUAAGUUUGAUAGAUGCAUGCAUGCUUGAGUUGUAACACCACUCGGCUAAUUCAAUCCAGUGAGACCAAUUCUUAGGUUUAUCCCCAACAUAAGACCUUAGGUAGUUCUCAACCCACUUGUUAACAGCCUCUGUUUGCCCGUCUGUUUGAGGGUGGUAAGCUGUGCUAAAAGCCAGCUGCACUCCCUGCAAAGAAAAUAAUUCCUUCCAAAAUCUACUUGUGAAAGUGGAGUCUCGGUCGGAAACAAUUGAGCUUGGCAUACCAUGUAGCUUGAAUACAUGUUUCAUAAACAGUUUCGCUACAUCCUUAGCUGUGUAGGGGUGACAGAGUGGUACAAAGUGAGCAUAUUUUGUAAAUCUAUCCACAAUAACCCAUAAGGAGUUGAAUCUCUCAGACCUAGGCAACCCAUCGACAAAAUCCAUUGUGAUAUCGGUCCAUGGUUUUGAGGGAAUGGGUAGGGGCUGUAAAAGUCCACUAGGUAGAGUAUUAUCUACCUUCAUCACUUGACAUGUGUCGCAAUUCUUUAAGAAAGUCUUCACAUCCGCUUUCUGUCCAGGCCAAUAAAAAUCUCUUUUUAGCCGGUGUAAGGUUUUAUCAAAUCCCAUGUGACCACCCAUAGGGCUGCUAUGAAUUAACUCCAGUAGUUUCUGAAUUAACCCUUGAUUAGCUGGAAUGUACAACCUGUUUUUGUACAGCAUCAUACCAUUCUUGACAGUAUAGGGACUAGUGAGUUCCCCUUUUUGGUGCCUUUGCCAUAAUUCUUGCACUUUUGAGUCUUCUCCAUAAUGCCCCUUGAUAUCCUCUAUCCAGUCCCAAGUUGGUAAUGAAAUGAGUGACAAGGUGAUCUCAGCUUCCUCUCCUUGCCUAGACAAGGCAUCGGCUACUACAUUCUCCUUUCCUUUUUUGAACUCCACGACAAAGUCAUAGCCCAAUAGCUUAGAUAUCCAUUUUUGCUGCAUGGGGGUUCCUAUUCGUUGAUCGAGUAGGAAUUUAAGACUUUGAUGGUCAGUCUUAAUCACAAAAGCCUGCCCCAAUAAGUAGGGCCUCCAUCUCUGCACUGCUGAAACUAGUGCUAACAACUCCUUCUCAUACGUAGACACUCC